ACAAGUCCAACCCUGCUUAUAUUUUCAUUAUAAUUUUGCAAGUCCAGCUCGUUUCUAAAUAAACUUGUUUCUUUUUUUUUUCUUUUUUUUUCCAUUGGCAGGUACAAGGCCUACCGGCUGUAACUGCAACUGUAGGACCUUGACAAAAAAACAUUGGACAAAACUAUUUCAAACUUGGAUACGGAGUUAACUUCUGCAAAGGUAGCUCAGGAGUCAAUUCGCAAUGACGCUCCUCUAUCAGAAGAUAUAAAAGCAACCUAAUCAACUCCUAAGAGAAGGUACGUCAUGGUCAUAGGAAUCAACACUGCUUUUAUUAGCAGGAAAAGAAGAGACUCCGUCCACCAAUCCUGGAUGCCUCAAGGUGAGAGAAGAAAGAAGCUAGAGGAAGAGAAAGGCAUUAUCAUCAGAUUUGUAACUGGUCAUGUGUAAACUAUCUCAUUUCUCUUUUGUAAUUUCUAUGAUUUUGUAAUUGGUCAUAGGAAGAGAAAUGCUUAAAUUAUAUCAUGAUUGCAAUUUCUAAAUAAAAAACUAGAGAUUGUAUAAAAGAACUCUUUAUGGAUUGAUUUUGUAGGAUCAUGUUGAAAGAUACCUUGAACUAUCAGCAAACCAAAUGUAUCUUUAAAAUUAAACAAAAAAA
Non-coding RNA from Arachis ipaensis, 637 nucleotides. The record is from RefSeq and is a predicted model, not a curated record. Lineage: Eukaryota; Viridiplantae; Streptophyta; Magnoliopsida; Fabales; Fabaceae.